AGAGAAACAGUAAAUAAAAAAUAAAAAAUAAAACCGAAUGAUAACAAGAACCAGAAAAUAAAAUUCAAAAAAGAAAAAAGAAGCUCACCUCGUUUCAGUUUCUCUCCCACAAGUACUUGUAGCUUAGGACCAACAAAAAAAGCCAAAAAAGAUUAGCGUUGAAAAGCCAAUAAUGGUCCUAACCACACAAAGACACACAAAAAACAAUGACAGAAAUAGAAGAAAAC
Molecule: long non-coding RNA, 227 nt
Filed under: Hordeum vulgare
Lineage: Eukaryota; Viridiplantae; Streptophyta; Magnoliopsida; Poales; Poaceae
Description: long non-coding RNA (HVUL_LNC016848)
Source: RNAcentral